Molecule: microRNA precursor, 67 nt
Filed under: Bombyx mori (domestic silkworm)
Lineage: Eukaryota; Metazoa; Arthropoda; Insecta; Lepidoptera; Bombycidae
Description: mir-2774 microRNA precursor family
Rfam family: mir-2774 microRNA precursor family
Source: Rfam by way of RNAcentral
CCUACAUUCGGAGCGUCGGUCUACCGAGCAAUAUCACCCGGUCGGUGGAAGACCUUCGCUUCUUCGU